RNAcentral lists this ribosomal RNA (497 nucleotides) under uncultured bacterium. RNAcentral describes it as "partial 16S ribosomal RNA". It matches the Rfam family "Bacterial small subunit ribosomal RNA", at positions 28 to 507 of the family's 1533-position model. The record is from RNAcentral.
GAUGAACGCUGGCGGCGUGCCUAAUACAUGCAAGUCGAGCGAACGGACGAGAAGCUUGCUUUUCUGAUGUUAGCGGCGGACGGGUGAGUAACACGUGGAUAACCUACCUAUAAGACUGGGAUAACUUCGGGGAACCGGAGCUAAUACCGGAUAAUAUUUUGAACCGCAUGGUUCAAAAGUGAAAGACGGUCUUGCUGUCACUUAUAGAUGGAUCCGCGCUGCAUUAGCUAGUUGGUAAGGUAACGGCUUACCAAGGCAACGAUGCAUAGCCGACCUGAGAGGGUAAUCGGCCACACUGGAACUGAGACACGGUCCAGACUCCUACGGGAGGCAGCAGUAGGGAAUCUUCCGCAAUGGGCGAAAGCCUGACGGAGCAACGCCGCGUGAGUGAUGAAGGUCUUCGGAUCGUAAAACUCUGUUAUUAGGGAAGAACAUAUGUGUAAGUAACUGUGCACAUCUUGACGGUACCUAAUCAGAAAGCCACGGCUAACUACGUG